UUUGCAAGAAAAGUUGGCUAAGAUUCAAGGAAGUCGAGAUUCCAAUGAAGAUAAACUUGUGGAAGAAAGGUCUAAGAAUUCUCCAAUGAAAGGUGGGAUGGUCUUACUUUUUGAACCACCUUAUCAGUAACAUUUCAGGAUGUGAAGUACUAUGUUGACGUCCCUGGGAGAAGAAGAAACUCCAACUACUUUCUGAUGUUACCAGUGCAUUAAGGCCUGGUGUUCACACAGCAUUAAUGGGUGUUAGUGGAGCUGGAAAAUCCACUCUUACUAGAUUGUAUGGCGGGAAGAAAAACUACUGGCCAUAUCGAGGGGGCAAAUAAACUUCCUGAAUUUCCUCAUUGUUUCCCGGCUCUUGUCCUAUAAGUUGAUUGCAAGCCAUACAAAAAGUAAACAUUCAAUUCCUUGUAGUUCAAUUCCGUUAAACCAAAUAGAGAGGGAUUGACCUCAUCAAAUGAGCAUAUAUGGAAGCUCAUUAGAUGACACUCAUCAAAAAAUUUAAAUCUAGCAGUUUAACACUUAACAAGAAAGCAUUUUGAUAAAUAGUUGCGUGUGAAGGCUAGCGUUCACCAUGGCUGGCAUUUUGUAACCAAGGAUGUUCUGCAUUUAAGGAGCAAACAGUAGUAAACAUUUAAUUCUCAUAUUUCAAUUAAAAAUGUUUGCAAAUAGUAGUGAAGUUGCAGAGCAUAAGGCUGUAAACAUAAAGCAUCACUAUUCAAUUAAACCGAAUGUUUUCUAGCACUUGUUAAUC
This is a long non-coding RNA of Pistacia vera, 751 nucleotides long. RefSeq lists it as uncharacterized. The transcript is spliced from 3 exons. Lineage: Eukaryota; Viridiplantae; Streptophyta; Magnoliopsida; Sapindales; Anacardiaceae. The record is from RefSeq and is a predicted model, not a curated record.